This 427-nucleotide ribosomal RNA is filed under the name uncultured prokaryote. RNAcentral describes it as "bacterial SSU rRNA". It matches the Rfam family "Bacterial small subunit ribosomal RNA", at positions 355 to 774 of the family's 1533-position model. The record is from RNAcentral.
UGGGGAAUUUUGGACAAUGGGGGCAACCCUGAUCCAGCAAUGCCGCGUGUGUGAAGAAGGCCUUCGGGUUGUAAAGCUCUUUUGUUAGGGAAGAAACGGCUUUGGCUAAUAUCCAGAGCUAAUGACGGUACCGGAAGAAUAAGCACCGGCUAACUACGUGCCAGCAGCCGCGGUAAUACGUAGGGUGCAAGCGUUAAUCGGAAUUACUGGGCGUAAAGCGUGCGCAGGCGGUUGUGUAAGACAGAUGUGAAAGCCCCGGGCUUAACCUGGGAAUUGCAUUUGUGACUGCACGGCUAGAGUUUGUCAGAGGGGGGUAGAAUUCCACGUGUAGCAGUGAAAUGCGUAGAUAUGUGGAGGAAUACCGAUGGCGAAGGCAACCCCCUGGGAUAACACUGACGCUCAUGCACGAAAGCGUGGGGAGCAAACA